UCAUGGGCUGUCGUUGCUGCUCAUCCUCAUCUUUCAACCAUCUGAGCAACAAGUCCCUGUACUUGUCAAUACCCACGAUAUCAUCCUCCUCGACAAAAUGUGCUAAUUCUGCGGGGCUCUUGCUACCGCCAGCAGCUAUUAGAGGUCUUGCUUCAUUUUCCAUUCUGCUUGUAUCAUAUCGCUCCCUUCUUUCCUUAAUGUUUCGAAGCUUAACUUUGAUUUUGUUAAGCCUCUUGCUAAGGCGACGCCAAGUUGCUAUAUUUCUGCACAUCUUGACUGUUGUAGGCUGGACCCCUCCUUGCUCUUCACCGAGCUUGUAUGUGAACUCAUCUAUAAUAUCCUCAAUGUCGAAAGCCAAAUCUCUUGUUUGUUUUAUGAUGGUUGUUGUGCUCUCAUCCUUCUGUUUUAAUCUUUCAGCGAUCCGUAGGAAGGAUAGCAUGCUCUGAAGCUCACCCUUAAUGUCACUUAUAUCCUCCACAAGGUCUUCCAUUGCUGAUAUCCGUGUUAGUAAUCGUGAUGUUGCUGCUUUAGUUGCUUCACUAGCUAAGGUCGCACCGAUAUUUAGGAGUAAUGAGCUUACCACAGCCUCCGCCAUGGGCACUUCCUCUGAAUUGAGCCUAAAAUGUACAAUCUUUUCAAAUUACCAUGUCUCUUCAAAUGCACCACUAGCAAAAAUGAUUAUUUUUUAACGCUCUUAUGAUUCAAGGCAAUUUUUGUAAAAAAAUAUGUAAUUAAUUGUCUCAAUCGGAAUAACUCUGUAGUGCACUAAACAAACAUUUGUUAGAAUCCUCAGUUAAAAAAAAAGAAACACCAUUAACAGUAUUGUAGUCUGGAAGAACAAAAAGCAAUAACUUGUUCAAGAUUCAGUUUAACAAAAUUUUGAGAUUAAAGAUUCAUCAUAACUAGUCAUAUUGAACUCGACCUCAAUGUAUAUUUGUAGAUCAAGUUGUGAAAAAGUCCUUUAGAGGAGUAUGAAAUCAAUAAAGAGUUGGAAAGUAAAUCAAUCUGCUGCUAGCUAGUGAGUAGAUGGUAUCACAUUAAGCGUGAUUGUAAAUUAUUUUACAAUUAACAAUUAUAAAUCAAGUUUGUUUUGAAGCCCUCUUCUUGUUCAUAAUUAAGUUAAUAUUUAUCAGGACGAUAAGUCAUUUGAGCAAGAAACUAUUAGUGCUUUUUCAAAUAGUUUUGUUUUGAUAGAAAUAUAAGAACUUAAAUUUUAGACUCAUGAAACUCCCGUAUAUCUAAUAUGUUAAAUUUUAUUGCCUCGACAUUCAUAGUUUCAUACCGCCUAUUAUCAGACCAGAAUCUGAAAGUUCUAUUUCAACUUUUGUGAUUUGUGUUGCAAUUUGUAAAAGUUCUACAUUACUAGUUUUGAUAUUAACUGAGUUUUUUUUUUCCCAAAAUAAUUGUUAUCUUUGUGAGUUCAGCAGGAAUAUUUCUUAAGUGAAAUGACUUUGAUAUUUUUUUUUUUAUUUUUUUUUAUGAUGAGGCAUUUAAAUAAACGUCUUGUAUCGUUAAAUAUAAUCUAGAAUGUUUGCAUGGUUUAGAAACUGAAUUUUUUUUUUUUUGUCAUUAUCAUUUACCUAGUGAUCAAAUGGUCUUAAAAUUGAUAAUUUAACAAGUAAAACAAGACACUUUCUUCUUGUUUAACUGCAAAGAAAUAAAACCCUCUCAACUAUUUAGAUCAAGAGUUGUAACCAAGAUUGUGAAUUUAAGAUUUUUUUUUAAUUAUAUUUUUAGAAUGUCGCUAGUUUUGAACUUUCAAAUUAUGCCCACUUGGCAAGCCAGAAAAUAAAUUUUGAAAAUCAUAAAACUCUUUUUCUAGAAAGUUUAUGUAUCCUUUAGUAUAUUUAGCAUCUUGCAUGGUAUUGAUCAUCGAUUUAGACGCUCAAUCAUUAACAAUAAAGUGAAAGUAUAUAAUAAGGCCAAAUUAUUCUACCUUAAUUAUUAAUUAUCUCUUGUUAUUUUGUUACCAAAGAUCAAGUGAAUCGAAACAACAUAUAUAUAUAUUUGUAAGGACUGAGAUUUUGACAGUGUAACUAAACUCUCUGUUGACGAUGUUUAUAUGUGUAAUUUAAUUACAUAAGCACUCGUCAAGUUUCAGGAGAAAAUGAGCUAAAAUGGAGAAGAUACGCAAUUUUUAGUUUUCACUUAAGUGAAUAGUAACUCUGGUUUUCCGGAGAAGCCGCGGCGUAGAGUUGGCUUCUGGCACGUAUUGGACUUCGAACAUAGCAGUCCAAUAGCCCGUUUCGACCAGUUCAGCUAUUCUGGAACUAAUGGCGCUGACGAAUUUUGAGUUUGACGCACGGAUUUCGAGAAAAUCCAAAAAUACAUGUUUUAUAUGUAUUUGUGCGUAGUUCUUCUAUUGGAGAGUUGGAACGGUUCUCGCCGCGAAUCCGCGACCGAUCGAGAUGAACCAAAAUGGUAGCUAUGUUGUCUCCGUGGUGCUGAUCGCACUGGUGCAAUCCGUUCGCAAAUCUGACGGACGGACAAGCGGAGAUCGCACGUUGAUCGAGGAGAGGUUGGCGAUGGCAAAACGGUAAUUUCGCAAAAGUCGCGACAUUUUAUGUACCGUUUUACGCGAGAUCGCACGUGGAGGGGUAUUCGUGCAUUUUAUUCAAGCUGUGAGGGACUCGGAGCGAAAUAUCGAGUUUGGAGGGACUUUUGCACGAUUUAUCGCCUUACGUAUUUAAAGGCUUCUAGGGUUUUCCAUGAAACCCUAACCCUAAACCUAGCUCCAGCGAACCUAGCCGCCCUACCCCCCUUCUCCUCAUACGCCGCGCCCCUCCCGGCCGCCGCCGACCCAACCCCGGCCAGCAGCCAUCGCCACAGCCACCAUCUCCCACCUUCUUCUCUCUCCAUCUCCCUCAAUCCUCCUCUUUCUCUCGGGUUAGAUGCGGGCCGAGGCUACAUUGCCUCCAAGCACCUUGCCGAUGUCGCCCCCUGCCCCGGCGAGCCUCCCCGGCCGACCGCCGCCGCCCCUUGGGGCAGCGCCGCCGCCGCCGGGGCCAAUCCUGCAGCCGCCCCAGGUCUGCUCGGGCCGAGCAGACCUGGUAGCUCCAACCCCACGCCGCAGCCGCCCUUGUCCACCCCUGCGGCCUCCAUCAUGGCCUACGGUACCCCCUCCCCCGGCCGAAAGGGUCGCUGCCGCUGCCACGUGCCUUGGGCGCUGCCGCCCAAGGCUGGAGACCGAGCCAAGCUCGGCGCGGUUGCGCCCGAGCUGCGGGCUACCGCCGCCGUCGCCCGCCGCCUCCUCCUCUCCGUCCGGCCUCUAGGGCCCCGUCGCCGUCGUCCCUGGGCACCCCCGACCGCCGCCGGCUACAGCUGCACCGCUGAAACCCAAGCUCAGCAGUACGGGCUCGGGAUGUUCCAGCUUCGCCGCCGCUGCCUUCCGUCGCCGGCUGGAGCGAGCGCCGGUCUUCCCUGGCCGGCCGUACCCGUUCAUCGCCGGCUACCCCGCCGCCGGAGCACCCUGUCAACCGAGAUGAGCCUGAGCUCUCCUCGGGUUGUGCGGCUAGGGCAUCAUCGUCCUCCGCCUCCGCCACCUCCCGUCGUCGUCCGGUGCAAGCCCUGGUCUCCCCACACUGGCUGCACCCUCCUCUGCCAGCGCGUCCGCCGUCCGGCCUCCCGCGCCCUACCUUGCUCCGAUAAGCUUAGUUAAGAGCUUUUCUUGAGUAGUUUACUGUUCCGAGCAAUCCGAGGCUUCUCGAUCUCUACGGAAGGGAGCACAAUGAUUGUGACUCAUCGCUGAUCAUCGUGCUUACCUUAUUUUCUAUCGGGGAGGCUCCGUUACGCUGUUUCGGCGGUGUAGACCCUAUAAGAGCCUUUUUGGCUGCUGUUUCUGGUUUGCGUGCGUUGUUCCGGCGAUCCGAGGAUGUCCUGAUGCCUCCGGAGGUGAGAAUGGUGAUCGUUGGUCAGUGGCGAUCCCAGUGAUCACCUCACUUUUGAUCAACAGAGUCCGGUUAGUUCUGUUCGGCGUGUUUUUCCUCGACUGCGCGCUGUUCGCUGAACCUUCGGGUUGCUCCCGCGCUUCCCACAGUGAGUCAUUGUGCCCCAGAUCAUGAGCACGGCCUCCGGUACGUCGAGACCUGUCAGUACGUGUCUCGGCGGACCUUGGAAGUCCUUAGUUUGCGUGAACGAGCCAUGUCAUCGCCCGAUUUACAUAAAAUAUAGGGAUUUUACGUAAAGUGAGGGGCAUUUGUGCAAUUGUGCAUUAUGUGGCUACUGUGGGCAGUGCAUAUGUGUGUGUGGUGACCUCUGGACUGAUUAUCCAUGAUCCAUUAGCUUUUGCAGAAAUCGAAGAGUCGAUUUCGAUGCGUUUUGCGGCGAAAUUCGCCGAAAGAACGCGGUUUCGGUUCGGAUUUCUUCCAACGUGGUUUGUUUAUCCUGUGAAUUGUCGCUGAGCCUUGUUGGCUGGUCACCAUCAUCAUUUUGUGGGUUCAGUGAUGAUUGGUGAGCGACGGUGGGUUCCGGUGUCGAAAUAGACACUUUCGGGAACCCGGAUUCGUACAAUUAUCCGGCGAUAAUUUGUGUAGUGGUGUUAUCUUGUGUUUGCUGCCAAAACAUCCAAAUUGGAGUGUUUUGGGACAGCAGGCGACUCGUGACACGAGUCGGUGAGUUUCGGGACACUUAGUGGGUCCCGACGGCGUCCCAGUGUGGUUUUCGGGACUCCCGGCGAGUUACGGUAAUUGGAAUUGGGAAACCGAUCUUCGUGAAAUUGUUUGUGGGGUUGUGGAUACUGUGGUUAUUAGUUGUGGGUUAGAUACUAACCCGGUGAACCCUCUAUAGGUCCUGUCGAUAUUCUUUUGCAGUCAGGAGACAGACGCGACAUCCUUACAGGUGGCUACUUCGAUCCGACGUUGGUACAGUGGUGCAAGCUCGGUGAUGGUUUCUUACCCUUGCUCUUUUGUUAUUAUCCAUGCAUAUAUUAUAUGUUGAGCUUUGCACCUCUAUUGUUUACAUUACACCCACGUUGUUUGGUUAUACUCUGCUCGUUGUUUACAUGCUUAGUAUCCUGAGUAGGAGUAGAGUAGUUUAUCUGUAUGUGAUACCAUGUUUUCUUGUUGCUCUACUUGCCUGUUCUACAUAUCUUAUAUCAUGUUUAUAGUAGAGCGGUUCCGUGACUAUCUGUGAGAUUAGUGACCUAGUCGGUCGAUUCUAGUAUCCCGUAUUUGUGACCUAUUCGGUGAGUUCCUUGACUUUCGUUGUCCGAUGACCGUUAAGGUCGGUAUAACCUGAGGGGUGGUAUUGUCGGUUAGUUGCCGACGGAUGAUUAUAGUUUACUCAUAUCCACUAUUUGACAUGUUUGUGACCUAGUCAGUCAGUUCGUGACUCUUGUUGUUUCUCGUCGUUUGAUGACCUUUGAGGUCGGUGUACCCUGAGGGGUAGGAUUGUCGGCUAGUGGCCGACGGUAGUCCUAGAUUAUAUACUCAGAUGACUUGUUGAUCGAUUCUUGCAUAUAUACAGUAGUUAACUUAUUGAUCAGUAUCUACAUAUUUUUGGUAGGACGUUGAGUUGUUCCAUUCCAGUUGACUUGAUUAGUCAGUACUUGCAUACAGUUGAGAGGGUGUCGAGUUGUUCCAUCCUAGUUGACCUGAGUGGUCGGUUCUUGUACUUUCUUACAGUGGAUGAUCUUUUGGUCGGUUAGCCUCGAGGGGCGGUGAUUGUCGGCUGGUUGCCGACGGUUGGCCUUUGAGCAUAUCAGCAUUGAUCGCCCGACUCGUCGCAUUUCACGAACACUGGUGGUCUGAUCCACAGCAAGGAGUGUUCUUUUUCGAAAAAGUGGUUACUUGUGCCAACCCGUGAGCCCAGCGGUCAGGACUAGGUUAUAUGCAGGUAGAGUGGUAGUGGGCUUUUGCCUGAGGUCCUUAGACCGACACGGCGGUUUAGAUUGGGUAUUUUGGACUUCUUGUCCGGUUGACACAUAUGUCUAUAGUAGCAGUCGUUGCAUGCAUACUUACAGUUCUUACUUUAUAGUUGUCUUGCUACUAUAGUAGAUAUUCAUAUAUGCUUUCUGUUCCAGUUACAGUAGCGGUAGCCGUUAUUCAGUUUAGUUCCUACUUUCUUUCAGUUUAUUGCUACUGUAUUCAGUAUAUCUGCUCAUUACCUUAUAUAUCUCUUUCGUGUAUUAUUGUUGCUACUAUAUUUCCACUGACCCGUGUUGUUGUAUAACUCUUCCUGAUCCGGUGAGUACUCCUCGCCUUCUUCGGCUUGCUGUACCUACUGGGAGGGGAGACAUGUUUACAUGUUCUCUCCUCCCCCACUAUUUUUCAGGUAUCGCGGGCGAUGAGUAGUGGGACGAGACGUGAGGUACGUGUGUAGCGGUCGAUAGAGCCUCCGACCCAGAUUAUUUCGGUUUAGUUAUUACCCUUAUUAUUUUAGUUGUUAUAGCUUAGAUAGUUUAUAUGGUUCAGUAUUUUUAUUACAUUUGAAAUUUUGGGUUUUCAUGAGUGUAAUAAUCUGGUUUGUGAAUUUUGUAAAAUAAAAGGUUUUCUACCCCUCGUAAUAGCGUUUUUAAAAAGAUAAAAGUUUAUGUGUAGGAAAAUAAUUUUCAGAAGAUUUUCUGUGGAUUUUAUAUCUUAGUAUUUCAAAACCUGUUUCUUUGGUUGAAAACAUUUUAACUGAUAGAUGUGGAUUUAUGUUUAAAUAUUGAAUGUAUAAGUAUGAAACUGUGGUGAAUGGUGUAUGAAUGUAUAACUGUUGGUUAUUUGUAUGUUCGUCUGGUUGUGGUUGUAUCAUGUUUGAACUCUUGUACUUGUGCGACGCCGUGCAAAUACAGGGGAGACUCUACUCGUGUGAACAAUAGACCUCCUGUAUUUGUGGCGGAUCUGGCAUACUCUGGGGUCAGGUUUUCAAAAAAAAAAAAUUUCAGACGGUUUUCCGCUAUGCUUUAAACUAAAAAGGGACCCCGGGGCGUGGCAGAUUAAAAUGGUAUCAGAGCCAAGUUACAACCACAACACCAUUCAUAGGUUGUUUUGAAAAGUAAAUGAAACUGAACCAUUGGUUAGGUUGAACCAUAGGAAGACCUACGGUAUAUAGGAACGUGAGUGCGGGGUUUGGGCUUGAGUCCCGGUGUGCAUGUCGAGUUUGGUAAACUCGAAUACACGAUUAUUUCCUUAUGUACUACGAUUUUUGCAAAGCUGGUGUCCUAGUCGGGACUAGUGGCGGUGCUUCUUUUUGGACAUUGAGUGGUGGGGCGGUAUUCCCCAAGUGUUGCCACUCCUGUCAGGUGGGGCCUUGAAGGGCCAGGUGAUCUUCGGGUCUAGGCGAGUGUCAUAACUGCCGACGCCCAGGCCACUCUCUCUACUUAGGACACGAGAGCUGUUGCGAGUGUCUCUACGGAGACGGCAUUGUGAUCAGUUACGAUCGUGACUUCAAUGGGGCUAUUAGGGCGUAGCCCAGGGUUUGGUUAGCGGUCGUUUAGGCGACUGCAUUGUUAGUGUUGCUUCCGCAGAUCUUUGGGUAGGGUUGCGAUGCCUACCUCUCUUCCUUGAUUACUGAUUAGAAUUAGCGGUUUGGGUCUUUUGACCUUGAACUAGUCCUUUCGCCAAAUUGACGUGUACUAGAGUCGGAUUGACACAGUUUUGGUGUCAAGUUUUCGUUGGGGCAUACAUCGUAUGCGGAUAUUCUAACACCUAAAUUGGUGUGUUGUGGGUUAGUUGUAGUUGGUGAUAGGUUUCGUCUUGAUUCGAGAGACUCCAGGUUGUUGUAGGAAUUCUCGGAACUUUGACUAAAGCUCGGUUGUGGUGUGAAAAUCGGUUAGAGAAACCAUUUCUUAAAGCCUCAGUCCGUGUGGUUCGCAGCUUAGUGUUGCUAGUAGCCUUCGGAUGUUGAAAGUUAUAGGACUCCCUGUGAGUCGGUUCAGGGUCGUUCUAAUUUCGAAUGUCGACUUGUAAAGUUGAUGUUUCGAUAGUAUUGGUUGUGAGCUUCUGGUUCAGUUAAGAGGUAUCAAGGGGCUUGAUACUUCGACGUGUCACACUUCCAACUCGUUGUUGAUAAUGGAUCUUCGGAUAUUUUGCUUUUCUUUUGAUAAGUAUAUUGGCUGCAGACAAUAUACUGUUGAAAGAGUGACGAAAUACUAUCUUCCCGUUUGGGACUUAUGGAUUGGGUCGAUGUGUUCUCUAGAGUGUCUUGUGGGAAAGCUUGAGUGUCGAUCUUUUCUGACCACGUAGCGAGCCUUGGGUUAUUCCUUAGUAGGUUUGGCACAGUUGACUUAUCGUCACUGAUAAAGGGGUUUUGACUCUAGUUCGAGUCUGGGUGUUCGUAGCUCUUAGUUGUGCUUCCCACAGUUAAAAGGUUUGCUUGGUUAGUAGUCUCGGUCUAUUUGCCGGGAGGUUCGAAAUCAGUGAUUGAGUGACUUGAGCCUGGUGGUUGGCCUUGAUUGUCACCAUAUAUGAUAGCGUAUAAGGUUGUGACUCGGCUUAGCGUGCAAAUCUUGGAAGGCUAUACUUGUCCGAUUAUUUGGUGACAGGUACGCCUGGGUCUCAAUGAGAUAGGCAUUUGGUGUUGCUCGGAACAUCGAUCGCUAGGGUCCAUGAUAGGACGGCAGCGACAGGGUCUUGUUGAGACAGGUGUUGAGCAUCACCAACGGUUAGUAUCGCUUUUGUGAUUGGCGACCUAUGCAUCAAGUGAUGGACUUGCAAAGAGCUUUCAGUGGUCUGUUGGUACCGUAUUAAGUUUGAGGAGACAUUGUCUAGCCCAAUUGGUAUCGUCAGUUGGACCUUUUGGUCAGAUGUAAAGUAACGUCUUGGACCUAGGACUAUAGAUUGUCGCAGAUGGCUUUAGGUUGAUGAGGUUUUGACAGUUUGUGUGGUUACUAGUGGAGACUGUGGUCUCCGGUGUGAGUGAUUUUGACUCGAAUUUUAGAACAACGUUUCUUAUUCGCUCGUGGUGAGCAAGUUGACGUUGUUGGCUAGUCAGAGUGUGUCUUUUCGGCCUAUAAAAAUACACUCCAGACUUGUGGUGUUGACUCGUGUCUCUUCUACGUGAACCUUCGACGUAAUCGAGUCGGUUACUGGUAUGCGGAUCAAGGUUGAGUGUAUUUAGAAUUUCUAAGUGGAGAAUUUUUAUCUCAGAGUUGGUAAUUGGGGAUCUGAUAAUCCUAGUCGCGGGAUUGUCUUUGUCCGCAGGUUAUAGGAUAAUGUUGAUCCCGGUGAGUUUUGGUCUGUAGAUUUUGGGUUGUUACGUUUUCCCUCGAUUUGUCCUGGAGGAAUCGUAGUCCUUGGUGUCUCCCCUUCUUCGGAGGUUGAGCUGUCCAAAUGAAUGGUGACUGAUCAGUACUCAAAGGUGAUAUCACAGAGGUGGAAGUAAUAUCCGAAUUUGAUUUUGGUGGGUAUGUGGUCAAGUUUCGGGGACGAAACUUCUUUUAAGGGAGGGAUAAUAUAAGGACUGAGAUUUUGACAGUGCAACUAAACUCUCUGUUGACGAUGUUUAUGUGUGUAAUUUAAUUACAUAAGCACUCGUCAAGUUUCAGGAGAAAAUGAGCUAAAAUGGAGAAGAUACGCAAUUUUUAGUUUUCACUUAAGUGAAUAGUAAUUCUGGUUUUCCGAAGAAGCCGCGGAGUAGAGUUGGCUUCUGGCACGUAUUGGACUCCGAACAUAGCAGUCCAAUAGCCCGUUUCGACCGGUUCAGCUAUUCUGGAACUAAUGACGCUGACGGAUUUUGAGUUUGACUCACGGAUUUUAAAUCAUUGAAUUUAAAAUUUAAAUAGUAAUAUGAAAUUCCUCUAGAGAAAACUAAUUGUAGAAAUCUUACUCUUUAAGUUUUUUAUGCAUUACGUUUUAAACUUGUGCGAAUAAACUGUCUUUUAAAUCUUGGUAGAAAUUUAGUUUUUAAAUAGUAAUAUGAAAUUCCUCUAAUUUAAAUUUCACUUUUAAAUUUUAAGUAUUUAAUUUUUAAAAUUUAAAUUCAUCGUAUUUAGAAAUAAAACUAUUUCUAAAAUUUCUAUAAUUUAAAUUAAUGCAUAAUUUGAGAAACACUAAAACAUUUAAAGUAGAUUCCUAAAUUAAUGCCUAAUAAUUGCAUAAAUUUGGUUAAUCAAUUAAUUUUCUAAAUUAGUGCUAAUUAAUGCAUAAAUUUAGGACCUCAAUUAAAAGUUUCUUUAAAUAUUAUAUUAUUUAAUUACCAAACUAACCUUGAAUAAAAUAAUCCUUUUACCUGCUAAGUAUUAAAGUUAUAUUUUUACUCUCUAUUAAUCAACGGUUAAAUUUUUUUUUUUUUUAUUUUUUUAAAGUACCGAAUCAUUUCUCCCAAAAUAAUUAAUCUGAAAUUUAACUAGAGAAAAUACCGCAACCAAAGAAGCUCUUGAAGCAUAUGGUUUAGAGCUUGAGGAGUGAGAGAUGAUCUGGACGAACAGUGCAGCAACCAAGAAACAUCUUUCCUCUUGACUUCUCCCAUCAGCACUUGAGUGCAGUGGGCCAUGAUGAAUUAAUUUUAGGGAAUCUUUUGAUUAUAUACCUUUUACUCCUUAUCAAAAUUUUUUAAUUUAUUUUGAAAUUAUCAAAAUAUUCUUUCAAAAUCAAAUCUUAUUAGUAAACCGCAGCAAAAAUGAGGAUAUUUGAAGAAAUUAUUUAAAAUCAGUAAGUAUAUUUUGAUCCUCCAGGAGUAAAUAUAUAAGAUAUUUUGAAGUUUUGAAGAACAUAUUAGAUAUUAUUUUGAAAUUUUAUACAUAGGAUGAAAACUUCGAUUAACUGCCCUGUGGCCCAGCGUGUUAUAUGCUUCGUCGUACUGUAUUUGAGAUAUCUAAAGUAUAUAUAUGCUUCGGCAUUCUGUGUUCAAAAAGUCUGACAAAAUUUUUUACUUUGUCAAUUCUACAUUCGGAAAGUUUUACUAUGUUGUUAUAUAAUUUUACCUUUUGUUUGAGAGUAAAUUAUUCGGUCCUCAAAUUAUGAGACACGUGACAUUUCGGUCCUUAAAUUUUAAUUUGUUGUAAUUUUUAGCUUUUAUACUGCAUAUUACAUUUUAGUUCUCGAACUUUAAUUAGAUUGUAACGUCCCAGCCCACUAGCAAAAAUAAUUCGUUGGGCCCAAACACUGGCCCAAAAUGCUUAGCCCAGUUAUUAUUACCAGUGUCUAAGUCUCUUAUAUACCCAAUCAUAUCCCCAUUUCUAUUUUCGAUGUGAGAUUAUUGGGGUGACUCGUCUCGCUAGCCUUGUCAUCCAGACCCUGGCAUAGCCGGCUAUCUUGUUAUUCAGACUCUGGCAUACCCGAUCACCUUGCCUUUCAGACCCUGACUCAGUCUCGCUAGCCUUGUCAUCCAGACCCUGGCAUAGCCGGCUAUCUUGUUAUUCAGACUCUGGCAUAGCCGAUCAUAUUGCCUUUCAGACCCUGACUCAGUCGAGAUUCGCAAUACAUUUUUGGCUGGUGAACCGGCUCUGAUACCAAAUGUAACGACCCAGCCCACUAGCAACAAUAACUCGUUGGGCCCAAACACUGGCCCAAAAUGCUUAAGCCCAGUUAUUAUUACCAGUGUCUAAGUCUCUUAUAUACCCAAUCAUAUUCUCAUUUCUAUUCGAUGUGGGAUUAUUGGGGUGUGACAUAGGUGUAAUUCUAGCUCGACGGAUAAGGCAUGUGAUAUUUUGACUUGCUGAAUUAUUGGAAUUAAAUUUCACAGCCUAUUUUUUUAAAAUAAAUAUGGAUAAAAUAUUAAAUAUCUAAUUAAUGCAGCAUUUUAAAUAUUGUUGCAUCAUCAAAUAUGAUAUUGUUACAAUUCAAAAAGUUCGAAGAUUAAAAAGUUCUAUUUUAACUUCUUUGAUUUGUGCUGCAAUCUGUAAGAUGUUGUAGAAGGUCAUCUCGUUGUACAUUAGCAAGUUUAAAUCCAAAGAAAAUCACUAUCAAUUAAUUGCAUUCUCUGUAUGCCAAAAAGAAUUACUCUCUGAUUGCAUGCACCGUUUGGUUUGGGAAUAGGGAUAGGGAUAGGCUCUUAUCCCCCCCUUUAUACCCAAACGCUAAUUUUUUAUUCGAGAAUAGUAGUUCUCGGUUAUCCCCACCAACACCUUCAUUUUCUAUAUAAAACUUUCUAAUAUUUUUCUUAUCCUCGGGAACAACCCAAUUUUCAUCCAAACGCUAUUUUUCUUAUCCUCAUACUUGUACCUAUCCCUGUAAUAACUAGUUCUUGCUUAUACCCGAACCAAACGGUAUAAUAGAGAAUUAAAUAGCUUAUAGCAAAGAAAAUAAAAAACAAGAACACUUGGAACUUAAAAAUUAAUUAAAAAGAAUAAGUGGAAGAGGAACAACUGACCACAGAUCCAAGGAAGAGAUUGAAGAGGGGGCUGCUCCAAAUAUCAAAUUUGAUAAGGAAAUAAAUAAUUGGGCGCAAAUGAUUUGGACAGUACAGCUAUUGAUGGAGAAACUUCUUCCCUCUUUAUUAUCAGAGAUUCUAUUAUGUAUCAGUCAUACCACAUCAUCUAUUAAAAGUCAAUUAUAUCCCUUCUUUUGAGUAAAAAAUAUAAUAAAAAUAUUUUUCUAUUAACCAUGAUGGGAUGGGUGAACAAUCAUAAAGGAACAAUUUGAUUGGUAGAUGACGACACAUCACCAAUACAACUAAUACAUUCUAGAUUUUUUUUUUUUCCUUUAAUGUUCCUAGCAGCACUUGAUUGCAGUGGGCCAUGAUGAAUUAUGGGCCUGUUUCGCCAAUAUUCUAAAAAAUAAUAAUUUUUACAGGAUUAAUUUUAAUUUAGAAAAUUAAUUUUAGUUAAAAAUUGUAGGGCGCUUAGCUUAAUCUAACAAAAAAUUGAUUUUUUUAAAAUUUUCUUUAUUAAUUAUAAUUAAUAAUUUUUUGUCAAUCUUAUUUUAAAAUUUGAAUUCAAAAUUUGAAUUUGAAUAUAAAGUUUUUAAUUUUAAAGUUAAACAAUUAAAAAUUUAAAUUUAAAUUUAAAUUGUUAAAUAAUAGAAAUAAAUUUGAAUUUUCAAUUUUCAAAUUUUAAAUUCCAAAUUUCAAGCUUAUAAUUUAAAAUAUAAAUUUUAAAAUUUAAUAUUAUUUUAAGAAUUUCGCAAAAUAUAAUUUAAAAUUUAAAUUUAUUUGAUAAUUUAAUUUAUUUUAAUAAUUAAUUUUGAAAUUGUAAAUUUCAAAAAUUUAGAAUUUUCAAAUUAAAUCUAAAUUUUAAAUUGAAAUUAAAGGUUUAUAUUUUAUUUAUAAUUUAAAAUUUAAAUUUGAGAUUUGAAAUUAAAAACUAAAAUUUUAUUAUUAAAUUUAAAAUUUAAACUUUCAAAUUGAAAAUUUAAUUUAAUUUUAAAUUUUAAAAUUGAAUUUUAAUUCGAUUUUAAAUUUUGAAUUUAAUAUAAAAUUUGAAUCUUAAUUUUAAAUUAAAUUUUGAUUCCAAGUCAAAAAUUAGAUUUAAAAAGUAGGUUUUAACAAUUUAUUUUGGCUCAAAAAUCAGAAAAUUGAACCAGAUUUUGGAAGAAGUUAUCAUAUACUCUAUUGAUAAAAAAAAACUAUAUAUAUAUAUAUAUAUAUAUUAGGCUGGAAUACUAUUAAUAGUAAAACGCUCUUUUUGCUAUCAAGUUUUUAACCCUUGAUGAAAAAUUGAUAGGGUUAGGAUAAUAUUAGUCGGUUAGAGUUGAGUGGUCCCCCUAGGUUGAGUGGUGCCCACUAGGUUAUAGUAUUUAAUCCAAUGGUUAGAAAUAAUAAAAAGAGUUGAUCCAAAGGCCUAAAAAACUGAUAGCAACAAUAAAAUUUGCUACUAAUAGUAGCCCAGUCCAUACUAUAUAUAUAUAUAUUAUAUAAUAUAUAUUAAGAGUAAAAGACUUUGUGUUUCUGACUUUCUAGUCUUGGAUCAGGUUCUUUGAUUAUUUCUAACAUUGAAUUAUUAUCAUCCUAUCAGCCGCUCAAUCCUAGGAGCACUAUCAUUCCAACUUAAUACAACUUUUUAAUCAAGGGUCAAAAAGUUGGAAGCAUCAAGUAGAGAGAAAGAGAGAGAGAAUUGGACUAGAAUACUAUUAAUAGUAUUUUGGCUCUUUUACUAUCAAAUUUUUAAAUUUUGAAUGAAAAAUUAUAGAAUUAGAAUAAUAGUGGUGUUGGUAUAGUGGUGAUCCCCCUAGGGUUUAAACAAAACAAGUUAAGUAAUAGUUAAUUCAAUUGUCAUAAUGUCACGUUAACCGGCAGAAAUUAUCUGGCUACUUAUUCUACCAAAGUAAAAUUUCAUCUAAAAACUGAAAUAAAUUUUGAUCAGUGAUCUAAUUGAAAUAGAAGUUAAAGUUCGAUAACUUGAUUUGAAAAAAAAAAAAAAAAAACUAAAAAUUUUAUGAAGUAAAUGAAAUUUCAGGAAAAAUUAGGCGACUAAUAUUGUAUUAGACUUAAUUAUAUGCAAUUACUUGUACAUGUGUACGACAUAUAUACUUAAAUACAUCAUAUUGAUAUACACUUUCAUAUGCGUAUAUAUAUUAUUUAAUUACUCUCUCCCUCUUCCUCUAUCCUGCACUUAAUUUCUAUCUUUAAGCCAAUUUAAAUAUUGGGUUAGUUGACUUUGAAUAAGUAUAAAGCGAACCAAAUUUUAAUUUUUUUCAUCUUAUUUCAUUUUCGUGUGAACAUGGUGGAAUCGAGUUUUUAUACUAAUCAAAUAUAGGGAAACAAACAACCCGCCCCUCGUCCGCAUGGUGCCACUCCUAUUUAUAGGCAAAUCCUGGCAGAGACCCAGCCUGAGAGAGGAACCCCCAGCCACUUCCGGCGGCGCCGGAGACGGAAGAAGGGAUUAGAGGAAAGAUUUGCAGAGACAGGAGAAUUAGGAUGCACAUGGGGAGCAAAGAGAAGAGAUACCGCAACCACAGGGGCACACCGGCCAAACCUGACGCAGAGAUGUAACGGGCGUACGUCGGCCGCAGGAGAAGGUCAGCAUAGGGCCCGACAAGCAUCCGACAGGGAGAGGGGAUGGGGCCCGGCUCGGAGAGAGAACGACUCGGAGAGACACGGGACGGGAGGCACGUGACGCCGCUCGUCGCCAGCGAAGGAAGCGGGCAGAGCUGAGGAGGCGGGGGGUCGCUGGGGAGGCGACGCGUGGCGGUUUAGGGUUCGACUUUUAUUAUAUGUAUAGAUAACCUUAUAGUGAUAAGAGUUAAUUUCAUGAGUACAUAUAUACCCUUCCGUCCACCUCUAAUUUUGUCAAUAUUAAAAAUGAUCUUUUAAUUUCAAGAAACUAUUCAAAUUACUUUAUUAACUCAGUUUAAAAUUGUAUGCUAAUUAUUUUUUUCCUUUAAAAUUGUACUAUUCAUUUCCAGCAUAUAUAAAAUUUGUUGAAAUGAAUUCUGUUUAUUGCCCAUACCAUUAUAUGGAGCUAGACUGGUAUACUAUCGGUAGUACGGAGGCCUCCGUGCUAACAAGUUGUUUUUUAAUGAUACGGCUUUUAAAUCAACGAUCGGCUCCAGUAGACUUGAUCUACACUAGAAAAAGUAUUUGAAAACUAAAUUUUGUAACUUUUUGACAUUAUUUGACUAGUAUCCUUAAUUAUCUUUCAUAGUAUUGAUCAUUGAUUUAGAUGCUCAAUUAUCAACAAUAAAGUGAAAAUACUACAUGAGGCCAAAUUAUUCUACCUUAAUUAUUAUCUCUUGUUAUUUUGUUUCCAAAGAUCAAGUGAAUCCAAACAACACAUUAAUCAACAAAGACAUAUAGCAUACUUCUUGAACCCUUUUGCAGAAUCAACUACUUGAUAGCAAAGAAAAUAAAAAUUAAUUAAGAAGAGUAGGGGAAGAAGAAGAAGAACAACUAACCACAGAUCCAGAAAGGAGAUUGAAGAGGGAGCUGCUCCAAAAUAAUUAAUCUCAAAUUUAACUAGAGAAAAUACUGCAACUAGAGAAGCUCUUGAAGUAAAUGUUUUAUUAGGGAUUGAGGAGUGGGAGAUGAGGAUGAACUACACAUUAUAAACAAGAAACUGGGAGCAAGUGAUUUGGACAUUGCAGCUACCAAGAAACUUCCCUCUUGACUUUUCGCAUCAGUACUUGGUUGUAGUGUGCCAUGGAAUUAUAGGGGCUCCUUUUGAUUAUUUGCCUUUUACUACUAUUCAAAAUUUUUAAAUUUAUUCUAAAAUUACUAAAAUAUCUAUGUAAAAUCUAAUCUCAAUAAUAAUAAAUGGCCUUUUUGCAUAAAAUAUCUAUUAGUUUCGAGAUUUCAUAAAAAUGGGUCACUAUUUUGAAUUUUACAAAUUCAGCUCAAAUUUUUAGAAAACUGACUAAAAUAUUCUUAUUCCUCUCUCUCUCUCUUUCUCUCUCUCUCGCUCUCGCUCUCGCUCUCUCUUUCCCCCCGACCCUCCUUGCCUCCUCCACCGUCUUUGCGACGUCGACCUUCGGCGACGGUAAGAAGGAUGUUGCCGCCUCCUCUUUCUCCGCCUUCCCCAAUGCCGGUGCCGGCAUUGACGCUGACGCUGAAGGAAGAGGACUUGGAGCGGGCGCGAAUGAGGGCGGAGUAGAUGGAGGCGAUGAGUUCGUGGCUGUCACACCCCAAUAAUCUCACAUCGGAUAUGAAUGAGAAUGUGAUUGGGUUUAUAAAAGACUUAGACACUAGUAAUAAUAACUGGACUUAAGCAUUUUGGGCCGAUGGUUGGGCCCAACAGUUAUUAUUGCUAGUGGGCUGGGUCGUUACAUUUGGUAUCAGAGCUGAUUCACCAGCAAGAAAUGUGUGGUGAGUCUCGGCUGAGUUAGGGUCUGAAAGACAAGAUGAUAGGCUAUGCCGGAGUCUGAAUGACAAGGUGGCCGGCUAUAGCAGGGACUGGAUGACAAGACUAGCGAGACAAGUCUCACAUCGCAUGGUGAUCUUGCGCUGUGUGUGUGAUUGAACUGACUAGUUUGUCACACCCUAAUAAUCCCACAUCGAAUAUGAAUGGAGAUGUGAUGAUACUAAUAAUAAUAAUUGGGUUUAAGCAUUUUGGGCCAGUGGUUGGGCUGGGUCGUUACAGUAGCCGAGGCGUUGCUCGCUAUCGCACGUGAUGGUGAGAAUGAAGUUGCGCCCGCGCUUCUCCAAUGAGCGAAUAAAGAUGCAAAGGAUAGAAAAUAAAUAAAUAAAAAUAAAUAAAUAUUUUUUUUCUUGAAAGACCAUUGUGUAUCAUAAAUAAAAAUAAAAAAUAUUUUUUUCUUGAAAAUCAUUAUAUAUCAUCGCUCCUACAGAAAUGAUCAAGAAUCAGAGAAGAAGGAAAAAGAAUAUAAAGUUGUUAUUAAAAUAAAGUUGCAUUAUUUCACAAGAAAAUUACAUUUUUCGAGACGAAUGUUGUAUUUUUUGAUACAAAAAUUAUACUUUUUGAGCAAAGUUAUAUUAUUUGAGCGAAAAUUGUACUCUACCUACCAUCCGAUUAUCGUCUUGAAGCGGCUCCUCCUCGCCUUCCUCCUCACGCUCAUCUGCACCUCCGAGGCUCCUUUUCACUCAAUCAAGGACGGGCUCAAGGCGCUCUUUGGCAUUGCACUCUACCCGCUCAACCGCUCUGUGUUGGUUGAGCUCGGCGCCAUGUCCGCACUCUUCUCCCUUGUCGUUAUUUUGCAUUCGUCACGCUUUACCCGCUCAACCGUCCUGUGCUGGUCGAGCCCAGCGUCGUGCCCGCACUUUUCUCCCUCAUCGUCAUUCUGCAUUCGUCACGCUCUACCCGCUCAACCGCCGAUGCUGGUCAAGCUCGGCGUCGUCCCUGCGCUUUUCUCCCUCAUCGUCAUUAUGCAUUCGAAAAGUUUUAGUGUUAUAUAAUUUUAUAUUUUGUUUUGGGGUAAAUUACACUUUUGGUCCUCAAACUAUGACGUGCGUGAUAUUUUAGUCCUCAAAUUUUAAUUUAUUAUAAUUUUUGGCUCGACUUAUGCGAUACAUUUUAUUUUAGUCCUUAAACUUUAAUUAGGUAUAAUAUCUGGCUCGACCUUUAAGACCUGUGACAUUUUAGUCCUUGAACUUGCUGAAUUAUUACAAUUAAGUCUCACAACCAAAUUUCUUUUUAAAAUAAGUAUGGAUAAAUUAUUUGUAUUCAACUAAUAUAGUAUUUUAAUUAUUAUUACAUCAUCAAAGACGAUAUACUACAAUUCAGAAAGUUCAAGAACUAAAAUAUCACAUGCUUUACAAUUUAAGCUAGAAAUUAUAACUAAUUAAAAUUUGAGGACAAAAGUGUCACUAACCUUAUAGUUCUAACGACAAGUUAUAACAAAUUAAACUUUGAGGACGAAAGUAUCACGCGUCACAUGGUUUGGAGGUGAAAAGUGUAAUUUACCGUUUGUUUUACCAUAAAAAAAUAUUAUUAAAUAUAAUAGUAAAAUAUUAUGAUUCGCAAAUUAUACAAAAAUGCUAAAUUUUGUAGGUCAAAUUAUGUAAAAUAUGCGCUGACGCACAGCAGCUACGCUGUGGUUUUUGUAAUGGUCCGCCAAAUAGAGUAUAUCCCUGACGCGCUUUGGCCGCUGAGUCCUGAAAUAUUGUUAAAAUCAAAAAUAAAAAAAAGACGCGGAGAAGACUCGCACGACCCACGCGAGUCGUCUCCGCGUAGGGACCCAGUGAUGCUACCAACUAUACAUAUAUACUCCCUGCACCUGGUGUACUUUUACAUAUAUAUAUAUAUAUAUAUAUAUAUAUAUUGUAAAUAAUAUUUGGUAAUCAAUAUUUUAAAAUUAAGAAAGGAGCUGGGAGACGAUGUACUUUAUAUCUGGGAUAGGUGGAUGGUUAAGAAAGGAUUGCAGAAUACGAGGCAUAAUCUUUUUGAAUUGGUUGCGUACUGGUAGGUUAUUUGAAAGACUAGAAACGAUUGAUUUUUCCGAACAUCCAAUUCCGAUAAUAAUUUUGUUGAUAGUUAAUAGAAAUUCUGUGCACAUAGUAAUUAAUGACUUUGGAAAUUCAUAAUUUCGUGCUCAAAACUCCAAUUCCAAUAAAAUUUAGUUUAAUUAGAUGAUCGUCUCAGAGUAUCUUUUGUAUAGCAGGACUUUCAGUUUUUGAAAAUUAUGAGAAAUAUUACAUAAAAUAAUGAUGAUUGAGAGAUGAUUGUCUUUUUCUGAAUUUCAUAGAUUUUAUCAAAGAAAUUUUAAAUCCACCAAAAAUGCACCAAGUUAACUACUAGACCUUACAAAUAAGCCCCCACGAGUAUUAAAAACCCUCGGGAGCUAAGAAAAAUAAAUUCACCAAAAUUGACUUCCGUUUGUUCAAAUAAAAAUAAAUCCAGAUCGUGCUAUUAUUACAUAAUAGUGUAAUAAAAUAUGAACGAGGCUAUUGUACUAUUAAUAGCACCGAGUUAUUGGUGCUAUUAGGGUUUUGGCCAUUGGAUAAAAAAAAUGUAAGGUUAGAAUAAUAAUGGACCUCUAGGGUUGAGUCGAUGGUUUGUUGAAUAGUAUGAUCUAACGGGUGAAAAUAAUCAAAUGGAUAAAUUUAACAGCAAAAAACUUGGUAGCACCAAGGAGGAGGGUAAACUUGUAAUCUAGAUAAUUGCAAGAUUACCCGCCAGUAAUAAUACGAGAUACCCACUCUCAUUCGAUAAUAUUUUCGGAAUAGUCUUACAUCAUUUGUAAUGCUACUUUGCCAAUUAAAUUAUAGACUGGAUGAACCAAAUAUAAUAAUCUUAACAAAUUUACAUAUAAUUUUGACAGGAUAAUCCGAAUAUUAUAUGACAGGAUAAUCCGAACCAUCCUUUGUGAAUUAUGAAAGUGAUCAAUUUUGUUAAUCAUAAGGUCUACGUGAAUGCGGCCUACGCGCAACGGACGGGAGUUCUGAAAUUAAAAUAAAAAAUAAAAAAAAAAAAGAACACGGAGAGGACUCCCAUGACUCGGUCUACUUCCGUACAUGUAAAUUAUAAAUAAUAUUUGGAAAUUAGUAUUUUAAAAUUAAAAUCUAAUUCAAUAUAUAUUUGAUUUAUAGUAUUUAAAAGGAGGGUUUUUUAUAAACAAUUCUAUGAAGUUUUACAAUUACAAAAAUAUUCUUCUACAAAAAUUACCUAUAAAAGUAGGCCUCUAAUAUGCCAGGUGAGAUAGUCCGCUGAUAAAAUAUUGAAAGUGGUAAAUAAUUUACCAUAUUUAAAAGCAGCCAAGUAUUUACCGUCGAUAAUGGCAUGUUUGUUUGUUAAUAUAGGUUCGACAGGUGGGAUAAGUGUAUUCACAGUUCCUAGUAAGAUUAGGUCAGAGAUUGCACUGUUCUAUAGAUAGCUAGUAUUGGAUUAUGAUAGUAUAGUGACAUAUAGCUGUAGAUUGUUUUCAGUUCCUUUAAUAUCAUUGAGCAUACUUUCUGUAGACUUAGUGGGUGAACCGUUCAGAUCGGUAGCGGUGCCCACUGAGGACUACUUUUUGCAAUAGUUCUCACGCCCUGUUGUUGACUCUUUUUGCAGAGCCUUCUGUUAUGGCUGCUGCUAUUGCUGAGAUUGAUCGCGGAAAAGGUCUUGCGAGUUAGAGUCCUUCCUGACUAGUUGCAGAGCUAGAUGAGUAUCUUCUACAGGUAGUGUUAGUUUUUUGUUCUUAUACAUACUGAUAUUAGUAUCUCGCCGGAGCUAGAAUUUUUGUAUCAAAAUACUAUGUAUAUAUAUAUAUCGCGAAGCUCUGUUAUUAUAUACGUAUUUCUUUUUAAUAGCUCUAUAUUAUUUGUUUUAGUAUUGUAUGAUUACAGAUACAGAUACAGCUAUCACUUCGUAUACAGGAGAAAUUCCUAUAUAUACGGCGGGUCUGUUAGCGUACCGAAAAAAUGAGUAAUCCGGGGGCGUGACACUAAUAAUUUUGUUGAUAGUUAAUAGAAAUUCCGUGCAUGUAGUAAUUAAUGACUUUGGAAAUUCAUAAUUUCAUACUCAAAACUCUAAUUUCCAUAAAAUUUAGUUUAAGAUGAUCGUCUCAGAGUAUAUUUUGUAUAGCAGAAUUUUUCGUUUUAAAAAAUUAUGAAAAUAUUACAUAAAAUAAUGACUUGAUUGCGAGAUGAUUGUUUUAAUUUUCUGAAUUUCAUCGAUUUUAGCGAAGAAAUUUUAAAUCCACCAAAAAUGCACGAAGUUAACUAUUCCACCUUACAAAUAAGUGACCACCAGUAUUAGAAACCCUUGAGCUAAGAAAAAUAAAUUCACGAAAAUUGACUUCCUUUUGUUUAAACAAAAAUAAAUCCAAAUCGUGCAUUCAUUAUAUAAUAGAGUAAUAAAAUAUGAACUAGGCUAUUGUACUAUUAAUAGCACUAAGUUAUUGGUGCCAUUAGGGUUUCGGCCAUUGGAUGAAAAAAUGUAGGAUUAGAAUAAUAGUGGGAUAAUUAAGUAGAUGGUUUGUUGAAUAGUAUGAUCUGACAGCUAAAAAUGAUCAAAUAGGUAGAUCUAACGGUGAAAAACUUGAUAGCACCAGGAGAGAAGGUAAACUUGUAAUUUAAAUAAUUGCAAGAUUACCCGCCAGCAGUAAUAUGAGAUACCCACCCUCAUUCCGUAAUAUUUUCGGAGUAAUCCUACAUCCUUUGUAAUGUUACUUUGCCAAUUAGAUUAUAAACUGGAUAAACCAAUUAAAUAUAAUAAUCUUGACAAAAUUACCUAUAAUUCUGGCAAGAUAAUCCGAAUCAAAUACACCCUUUGUAAAUUAUGAAAGUGAUAAAUUUUGUUAAUCAGAAGGUCUACAUGAAUGCGGCCUACGCGCAGCGGACGCGAGUUCUGAAAUAAAAAUAAAAAUAAAAAAAAGAACGCGGAGAGGACUCCCGUGACUCAGGCACUGGUCUACGUUUGUACAUGUAAAUUAUAAAUAAUGCUUGGAACUUAGUAUUUUAAAAUUAAAAUCUAAUUCAAUAUAUAUUUGAUUUAUAGUAUUUAAAAUGAGGUUUUUUUUUUUUUAUAAACGAUCCUAUGAAGUUUUAUAAUUACAAAAAUAUUCUUCUACAAAAACUACUUAUAAAAGUAGGCCUCUAAUAUGACAGGUGAGAUAGUUCGCUAAUAAAAUAUUGAAAGUGGUAAAUAAUUUACCAUAUUUAAAAGCAGCCAAGUAUUUACCGUCGAUAAAAGCAGUGAAUAGUUAACCGCCUUUAGUGUAUUUUCCUUACUGGUUUGGGGGAAGCAUUUAAAAACAGUGAAUAAUUAAUCGCUUUUAGAAAAUUAUUUAACUUUUAGAAGACAGUAAACCAUUCAUCGUUUUAUAAAAUGGAGCGAAUGGUUUCACCCCUUUUCUUUAUGUCCUCAUCAUGAUAGCGCCCAUCCGACUAGUUGAAAUCUAUUUUUACACAUAAAAAUUUGAAGGGUCUAGUUUUAGAAUAAAAAUUUUGAAGAAGGCUAUUGGCCUAAAAGCCCAUUUUGAAAGUCUCAUUAUGAUGGCCUAAAAACAACUUCACACUAUGCUAAUUUUUCUUCUUUUUUUUUGUUCUUUUAUUUAUUUGUUGGGUGUACAUGCAUGCAUAAUUAAUUAACAAAAGAUUAUGUGCAUUAUGAUCUCAUGACGCUCAGAUCAUAGGCUCUCUUUAUGUUAUAGGAUAUGCUAAUUAUUUUGCUCUUUAAAAUCGCACUAUUCAUUUCCAACAUACAAUUAAUAACUUAUUGAGUUGUCACGCCAAACGGUCCGUAAACUUCCCUAAAAAAAAAAAACACGAAAAAAGAGAGAAAAUCUUUUUUUUUUUAGUUUUUUAAUAUUUUUUUUUUGAAAAUGAGCCUGUAGGGCUCUUAAAAUAUAAACAUUAUUGAUUAAUAUUUAGCUAAAAGUAUGUUCUUUGUUAGGAAGAGAACACAAUUAUUUGUGAAUUUCUUAGUCAUAUAACUUUGGGGAAAAAUUUUUGGAAUAUCUUUUAGUCAUAUGAUUAUGAAUCCACCAUAUAUAGUUAUUCCAAACAGAGUAUGCCAUAUAAUUGUCACAGGAUAAAGUUAUAAUUAAUUCAUAAAUUAAUCACUCCACAUAAGAGGGAACAAAAAUAGCCAAAACCUUAAUUAAUCAUAUUCUCCUUUUUUUAAUAGAAUUUCUUUUUAGAAUUAACGAAAGAAAUCAUAAUUUUGUUUGGUAAUGAGGAACAGAUCAAAUUCAAUAGAAUAAAAAAAAAGCAAAGUUACAUAUAGAUGACUGACCGUCUCUAGAACAAGUGGCAAAGAGCUUGAUGGUUGGUAUCCGAAACCUAAGUUCGAAUCCUAGUUGAUUCACAUUUCUAGCUCAGUUUAUUUCUAAAUGAAAUAAAUGAAACGGAUAGCGUGCUACAUAUUUCUCAAAAAAAAAAAAGAAAAGAAAAAAAAGUUACACAUAGGUGGUGUAGCCAUGUAAUAAUUCUAUUUCAUUGGAACCGACAAUAUUUGUCUUGGUAUAACCAAACGCCUAGGAGUUGCUAAAUCUUAUUUCAUUGAGAACUCAAUUAAUUCUCUCCUUAAUUUGGCUAUAUAUAAUGCAUGGCUCCGGUGUAGAGUUUACUUAGAACUCACAAUCCAAUUGGAUUCUUAAUUAAACCCUAUUUAUUUUUUAAUAAAUCUAAAUCUCAUGUCAUAUAUCCUAAUUAAAUUGGAAUUUGACUUUAAUUUAAAUAACUAUAAAUUUAAUUUUCUCACUAAUCUAUUAGAUAGCAAUAUUUGUUGAAUAAACUAUCUCAUCUAUUUUACUCUAUUCUUAUCAUGUUAUAUCGUCAAGUCCUUUUUGUUUAGGAUUAACCCCACGGAGUUAAGAACUGACAUUCGCUUUUAUCUUUUUCUUCAAAAUUUUUUUCAAUCUUUUUAAUAAGAGUAAAAUAUAGAAAACUCUAUGUAAAUACUUAUUUUUUUACUUCCUCCACCGACUUAAAAAAAAAAAAAAAUCUAUACAUUACCUCUUCAAAAUUUCAAGUUGAUGCGUUUAAACCCCCUACAUCAAGGUUCCGUCACUAUUCCGUCACUUCCUUAUAAUUUAUACUAAAAAAGCCCUUAAAAUGGCAGAAAUACAGAAAAGAAAAAUUUAUUUUUUUUCUUAAAGAACGAGUAAAAAAAAAUUGAAUCAUUUAUUCCUCUCCAUUCGCACCAAACAUUUCUAAGAUUUUAAGGAGGCAGAAUGUAGAUUUUUUGAAAGUUAGGAAAAAAAAAAAGUGAAAAAAAAAGAGUAUUUAUAGGGGGAGAUUUUCUUUAAUUUUUGGGCAAUGGAUAAAGUUUUAAGGGUACAAAGCAUCCUACAAAUUCAUAAUGCUGUGGGGAAGUAAUUAAUUCUUCGGAAGGCACCACCAACUCAUUCUUGAUACAUCCACUUUUAUGUACAUUAAAUUAAAUAGAAGCAAAAUAAAAUAUGCAGACGAGAUAGACAUCUGCAUCUAGAUCAUCGUUUCCUCAAGCAUGGAUUGUUUAGAAGAUCCGAGACGGAAAAUAUAGAAGCAUCAAGCUCGGCGCUUUGCAAUAAUGAAUUCAGCCACAUGAUGUGGAAUCAGUACUGAAUCCUUUCUGUGACAGGCUUGCCGUCUCGUUUUAACUGGAUAGUAAAAUUCGGGAUGUGGCGAACCCUUGUGCGCCAGUCAUUGCUGUGGUCGCCUUCUCCUUCUCCUAGAAGUAGCUCAACAAGUUCCUCUGCUGGAUAGAAAAUGUUCAAAUCCUGAAGGGUGGUCAGGUACACGAUGCCGAAGGGCAGCUCCUUUAGCUUCCGGCAAUAGGAUAGGUGAAGCUUAUUCAGGCUUGCCAUUGCUCCUCUUUCUAUUUCCACCUGACUGAGAUUCGGGGCAUCUAAUAUUGUCAAUCUCUUUAGCUUCGGGAAAGAUGUUGCUUGGAAGUGCAACUUCAUGCCAUCAUAUGCGCAAGAAAGGUGGAGAAACAUCAACGCAGGCAGCGCUUGCAGGUAAGGAAAUGUAUCUUCAUCCAAUUCUGACUCCAAAAGUUGUAAUUUGGUUAGGUUUGAUAGAGACCCAAAGGAUGCGGCAAGCUCAGAGAAUGAGGUUUUGUCUAAUUUACCGUCCAGCCAUAAUUCUUUAAUUGGCAGAGGUAGGCGCAGGGUGCCCAACUGCUGUAAUUCUUGCCUAAAUACACUUUCGACAGAUAAUUUGCUAAGAUGGUUCAUCUUUGUGAUACUAUUCCACAAGUCUGCACAGUGAUGGGUUCUUACGCCGGUUAUCGCAAAUGUCCGCAACUCUGUCAAAGCUUCUACAUUCCGCACAAUCUUCCUAGUUGCUUCAAUAGAUCCUAAAGUCUGCAAGUCCUUCAAGCGCCAUAUUCCAACGGGUGCCUUGAUGCCCUCGCCAACAUAUUCUGAUAAAACUAGGUGUCUCAACUUAUGAAGCCUCGUUAUUCCCUUCGGCAGCUUUCCUAUUUCACUUUUAUCUGUAUUUAGUAUUUGCAGAUUUUGUAGCUUCCCGAUUGAUCUUGGAAGCUCCUUAAUUUUUGUUUCUCUCAAACCAAGAUAAUGCAGGUUGAAGAGGUUACAGAUUUCACUCGGAACUUUCUCAAUUGGCGCUCCUUGUAGUUCCAAGACACGUAAAAAUUUUGAUGAUCUUAAGACCGACUUCAAUAAAUCAUUCCUCAUGGAAUUGUUGAAAACAAGUACUGAACGCAAAUGAGAUUUUUCUUCAGUACAAUAUUCAGUUAUAUCGCUUAGGAUUGACAAGCGUCGUGCUUUGUAUCCCUGCAAUAUUGUCCUUGAAUGCUCGCAAACCAUGCAGAAACUUAACUCCUUUGACUCCGAACGAGCGAGGACUCGAAUGAUGUCAUGCAUUCGAUAUGCAUAAACUCUACCAACUUCGUUCCACUCAGCCACUUGUAAUAGACAGCGAUGAACAAGUUCGUUAAGGUAGUCCUCGGCCACUUCCUCCAUCGUUCUUUCUCUUUCUUCAAUGAACCCUUCAGCCACCCAAAGCCUUAUGAGCCUGUCACUUUCAAUUGUAUAGUCUUCCGGAAAGCUUGAACAAUAUAAGAAGCAGUUUUGAAGGUAAUGGGGAAGAUCGUCCAAACUAAGUUUCAAAAUGUCAUGUACUUUUCCAUGGAGCUUCGAUUCGUUGUUAGUUAGAUACCACUCAAGAUCUUUGUAAACCUUCUCCCAUUCAGACCUGGUUUGUUCUCGAAAUGAUAAGAGACGAGCUAUAGAUACGAUAGCAAGGGGCAAGCCACCGCACUUCUCGACAAUUCUUUUAGCACAUUGUUCUAAAGGCGGUGGGCAAAUCUUGUUUGCACUUUUCCAAAAUGCGUUUUUACAAAACAGAUCCCACGAAUCAUCUGCUUGCAGUGGCUUUAGCUCAAACAUAUGAUUCUCGUUUGCUAAUAGAGCUACAUCGCGAAUCCUUGUUGUGAGAACUAUUCUACUCUUGCUAUUACUAUUCAGAAGUGCAUUCUUUAUAUUGUCCAGUACAUCAGUACUCCAAACAUCAUCUAGAAUGAGUACAUACUUUUUACACUGCAAGUAAGUGCGGAUUUCCUCAACCAAGCUUCUAUAAUCCAUGGUAUCAAUGUUGUUAGGUACUUCUCUUUUCUCAGCUAAGCUUCUUUUAUCCAUGGUAUCAAUGUUGUUAGGUACUUCUCUUUUCUUACGAUCUUCCCUAUGAAACUCUUUUAAGAUUUGUCUAAGCAAAUCAUGAGUCUCAUAACUUUGAGAUACAGCAACCCAAGCACAAGCAUCAAAGGAAGCUUUGAUGAUAUUGUACACAUGAGUCACGAGAGUGGUCUUCCCUAGACCACCCAUCCCCAACACUGAGAUUAUCAUGGGCUGUCGUUGCUGCUCAUCCUCAUCUUUCAACCAUUCGAGCAACAAGUCCCUGUACUUGUCAAUACCCACGAUAUCAUCCUCCUCGACAAAAUGUGCUAAUUCCGCACAGCUCUUGCUACUGCCAACAGCUAUUUGAGGUUUUGCUUCACUUUCCAUUCCUCUUGUAUCAUAUCGUGUCCUUCUCUCCAUAAUGUUUUGGAGCUUAAUUUUGAUCUCUUUAAGUUUGCUGCUAAGGU
RNAcentral lists this long non-coding RNA (26710 nucleotides) under Ananas comosus (pineapple). RNAcentral describes it as "long non-coding RNA (ACOM_LNC002894)". The record is from RNAcentral. Lineage: Eukaryota; Viridiplantae; Streptophyta; Magnoliopsida; Poales; Bromeliaceae.